This 497-nucleotide ribosomal RNA is filed under the name uncultured bacterium. RNAcentral describes it as "partial 16S ribosomal RNA". It matches the Rfam family "Bacterial small subunit ribosomal RNA", at positions 28 to 507 of the family's 1533-position model. The record is from RNAcentral.
GACGAACGCUGGCGGCGUGCCUAGUACAUGCAAGUUGAGCGCUGAAGGUUGGUACUUGUACCGACUGGAUGAGCAGCGAACGGGUGAGUAACGCGUGGGGAAUCUGCCUUUGAGCGGGGGACAACAUUUGGAAACGAAUGCUAAUACCGCAUAAAAACUUUAAACACAAGUUUUAAGUUUGAAAGAUGCAAUUGCAUCACUCAAAGAUGAUCCCGCGUUGUAUUAGCUAGUUGGUGAGGUAAAGACUCACCAAGGCGAUGAUACAUAACCGACCUGAGAGGGUGAUCGGCCACAUUGGGACUGAGACACGGCCCAAACUCCUACGGGAGGCAGCAGUAGGGAAUCUUCGGCAAUGGACGAAAGUCUGACCGAGCAACGCCGCGUGAGUGAAGAAGGUUUUCGGAUCGUAAAACUCUGUUGGUAGAGAAGAACGUUGGUGAGAGUGGAAAGCUCAUCAAGUGACGGUAACUACCCAGAAAGGGACGGCUAACUACGUG